UUCCUUGUCCGCAGCCCGCCAGCCCGUCAAAGCCGAACCCCGCCGCUGGCUUAGCAAAGCGGUUUUCCCGUUUUCGUCCGCUUUUCCGUUCCCGAUCAGUAUUCGGGGAAUAUUAGCAGAUCUCGCAGCCUCGCUACCGCAGCGGCUGAGCCGAAGCCCCCACGCCCACCCCCAUCACAUCGAUUCCAUCUCCUCCUCCCUCUUACCUCUUGCCUGCUCCCAUCUCUCGCCGCGCGAUUCGAAGAGAAAAAGAAACAUGGCGGCGGCUCCGGCGGUCCGAUUUCCGGUGGUGCUGGUGAUCCGGCUGAUGGGGAUCACUGCUGCGGUUCUGGUCAUCACCUGGGCGAUGCAUUUCCGGGGGGGAAUGGCCCUCAUCUCCGACAACAAGGAUCUCAUCUUCAAUGUCCAUCCUGUACUUAUGGUGAUUGGGUUCAUUCUUUUGAAUGGUGAAGCUAUAUUAGCAUACAAGACAAUCUCAGGAACAAAGAAUUUAAAAAAGCUGGUGCAUCUUACAAUCCAGUUCGUUGCCUUGUGUUUGGCUUUAAUUGGUGUAUGGGCAGCUUUAAAAUUCCAUAAUGACAAGGGAAUUGACAACUUUUAUAGCCUGCACUCUUGGUUGGGCCUGGCUUGUCUCUUACUAUUUGGCGUUCAGUGGGGGACUGGAUUUGUGACCUUCUGGUAUCCUGGUGGCUCAAGACAUGGCAGAGCUUUUUUACUUCCUUGGCAUGUAUUUUUCGGGGCAUGCAUAUAUGCCCUUGCCGUUGCUACUGCUGCUACUGGCCUCUUAGAGAAGGCUACAUUUCUUCAGAGCAGCCAAGUAAUAUCACGCUACUCAAAUGAGGCUUUUUUAAUCAACUCCUUAGGCAUAUUGCUUGUACUUCUUGGUGGAUUUGUGAUUCUUGCGGUCAUUACCCCUGGAGCUGUCAAAGGUGAUGCAUAUAGAGGUAUGUCAGAGUAGGCAAAGAUACGGUGCUCCAUUCAAUUGGCCCAUGAUUUGUUUUAUGGGAGCUAUAUUUGUGCACUAUGAUACAAACUUGUUCUUGUAAAGAUGAAAUUUCUGCGGGAAACUUGUCUUAGCUUCACCUCCAUCUUGGCAUUUCUGCACCUGCUGUUCAUGUUUUCUCUUCAGGCGAACCCAUUGAUUGGCGUUUUGUAUCACAAUAUUGGUUGCCUCAGGUAUAAGAUAUCACGACUACAAAUUUCUUAGAUUUAUGUUCUUAGAACGGUCAAAACUUUAAAUGUUAUUUUACAUGCUGGUCAUGGAUGCAAGCAUCUUAAUACGUGGUGCUGGUUAUAUUCUGAUGCAAAAAAAAUAUUCUGUCAUGACAUGGAGGGAAUUGAGCAAAUACAAAUAUGUUGGAGAAGUAACUGUUUGAUAA
This is a non-coding RNA of Phoenix dactylifera (date palm), 1379 nucleotides long. The record is from RefSeq and is a predicted model, not a curated record. NCBI's taxonomy places the organism in Eukaryota, Viridiplantae, Streptophyta, Magnoliopsida, Arecales, Arecaceae.